AGCUCCAAUAGCGUAUAUUAAAGUUGUUGCGGUUAAAACGCUCGUAGUUGGAUCUGCGACUAUUUUGGAGGACGGUCCCCCGAAAGGGCGGUCACUGUUACUCCUGGUCUUUUUUUUAUUCGAGUUACAAAUUUCGCGUUAGGUGCUCUUCAUCGGGCGUCUAACGCGGCUCGAUAGUUUACUUUGAAAAAAUUAGAGUGCUCAAAGCAGGCGAUCUUCCGCCUGAAUAAAAUGCAUGGAAUAAUGGAAUAGGAUCUCGGUUCUAUUUUGUUGGUUUUCGGAGCCCGAGAUAAUGAUUAAGAGGAACAGACGGGGGCAUUCGUAUUCCGGCGCUAGAGGUGAAAUUCUUGGACCGCCGGAAGACGGACGACUGCGAAAGCAUUUGCCAAGAAUGUUUUCA
This 400-nucleotide ribosomal RNA is filed under the name uncultured eukaryote. RNAcentral's name for it is "SSU rRNA". It matches the Rfam family "Eukaryotic small subunit ribosomal RNA", at positions 587 to 972 of the family's 1831-position model. The record is from RNAcentral.